CAGUCGCCGCGGUAAUACAGAGGGUGCGAGCGUUAAUCGGAUUUACUGGGCGUAAAGCGUGCGUAGGCGGCUUCUUAAGUCGAAUGUGAAAUCCCUGAGCUUAACUUAGGAAUUGCAUUCGAUACUGGGAAGCUAGAGUAUGGGAGAGGAUGGUAGAAUUCCAGGUGUAGCGGUGAAAUGCGUAGAGAUCUGGAGGAAUACCGAUGGCGAAGGCAGCCAUCUGGCCUAAUACUGACGCUGAGGUACGAAAGCAUGGGGAGCAAACAGGAUUAGAUACCCCAGUAGUCCCUGUCUCUUAUAC
This 301-nucleotide ribosomal RNA is filed under the name uncultured bacterium. Its description in RNAcentral is "partial 16S ribosomal RNA". It matches the Rfam family "Bacterial small subunit ribosomal RNA", at positions 509 to 807 of the family's 1533-position model. The record is from RNAcentral.